Sciurus carolinensis (gray squirrel) is the source of this 1173-nucleotide long non-coding RNA. RefSeq lists it as uncharacterized. The record is from RefSeq and is a predicted model, not a curated record. Lineage: Eukaryota; Metazoa; Chordata; Mammalia; Rodentia; Sciuridae. The transcript has 3 exons.
AAGCCGGAGAGUGGGCAGACGACUGGGCAACUCCGCAGCUCCAAGCUGGGUGGCGGGACCCCAGCCCCCCCGCACAGACCCGGCGGGCUGCGUCCCCCAAGCCGCUCAGCACCACCCGCGCCUCCCUCGGGAAAGCUGAGUCUAAACAGCUGAGAGUCUAAUCUAAGUCCCUGACUGCAGUGAUGAUGGCGUGCUUCAGUGGAGGAACCCAGCGCGGCCUUCCCUGCAGCGGUUUAGAGGCUUCUUGCAAACAGAGUGAUGGUGCCUGGAUUCUUUCCUCAAGCUUUUGGAUGUUUUUAUGCCGGACUUCACAGUUGAGGACUACCUGCCCACCAGGCAUGCUGUAAAAACAGAGAUGACAGCUGGGAGGGGCUUUGGGUAUCUCGUCCUACCUCUGGUCUGGAAAGCUGAAAGUCAUUUUGGGGAGCAAGCCUCCCAGUAGAAAAUCUAGUUCAUGCUUUGCUGGGCCCAGCACCCCAGCUUUCCCAGACACAUUUUGGGAAAUGUGUUUCUCACCUUACGCUCAUCUCUAACGUCAGAGGGUCUGACCACAUUCUACCAAGAAAUAUCUGCAUCAGAGAGAAUUAAUAAUCUGAGAAAGAUUGAGCAUAGUGCAACAUACUCAUUUAACAAGGAUUUCCUGAGUGCCCACCAGGCAGGUCCGAUAGGGAGGGAGGCCCCCAGGGAAGCUUGCAGCAUCAACCCGGUCCUGAAAUGUGAAGUCAAAACCUGAUGUAUCAAAGGAAGACCCAGAGGACCACUUGAGGUAAAAAGAUGAGAAAGAUUUCACCAGGGAGGAUGGAGUUGUGUGCGUGUGUGAAUAGAAUUGUAGGAAAAUGUCCAUCGGGCAGCCAGAGCAGAUUGGGUUUGGAGGACAUCUGCCUAGAGAAAAUGGUUGGAAUUAAAGAUUAGUACUUCGAGUCAGUGGGAAAAGGGCCCACCCUGAAUUACUAAGAACUUAGGGAAGAUCUUGUGUUCAGCAUAGCAUCACAGGGAAUCCUCCUGUAAGGCGAUUCAUUGAGAGCAUUUAUAAUAAAAACCUUGGGUACUUAAACGGGGGUUAGCUAGACCAUAGCACCUCCAAACAUGAUAAGCAGAUCCUUACAGGUUUCAAAAUGAAAUAAGAAUCCCUAAAGCUUACAGUUAAAAAAAAAAAAAAAAAAAAAAACCAAA